UUCAUGAAAAGUUUUUUUUUUUUUUUGCUAGUUGGUUGAUGGAAAUUAUAUGUAGUUGUUGAACUUGAAGUUUUCUUUUAUUUUUGUGUGAAAUAUUUUUAUAGUAGACUGAUAAUGUUUGGGCAUAUAGUUGAUGAUACUAUGACCUUAGGUUGUUGCUUGAUUAUUCCCCAACUUUUCUAUGAUAUUUUUUUACAUGUGUGCUAAUUGUUAUUGCUUUCCUUAUACCUUG
This 232-nucleotide long non-coding RNA is filed under the name Gossypium raimondii (Peruvian cotton). RNAcentral describes it as "long non-coding RNA (GRAI_LNC009543)". Lineage: Eukaryota; Viridiplantae; Streptophyta; Magnoliopsida; Malvales; Malvaceae. The record is from RNAcentral.